GAACGAACGCUGGCGGCAUGCCUAACACAUGCAAGUCGAACGAGACCUUCGGGUCUAGUGGCGCACGGGUGCGUAACGCGUGGGAACCUGCCUUUAGGUUCGGAAUAACUCAGAGAAAUUUGAGCUAAUACCGGAUGAUGUCUUCGGACCAAAGAUUUAUCGCCUUUAGAUGGGCCCGCGUAAGAUUAGCUAGUUGGUGGGGUAAAGGCCUACCAAGGCGACGAUCUUUAGCUGGUCUGAGAGGAUGAUCAGCCACACUGGGACUGAGACACGGCCCAGACUCCUACGGGAGGCAGCAGUGGGGAAUAUUGGACAAUGGGCGAAAGCCUGAUCCAGCAAUGCCGCGUGAGUGAUGAAGGCCUUAGGGUUGUAAAGCUCUUUUACCCGAGAUGAUAAUGACAGUAUCGGGAGAAUAAGCUCCGGCUAACUCCGUG
RNAcentral lists this ribosomal RNA (434 nucleotides) under uncultured bacterium. RNAcentral describes it as "bacterial SSU rRNA". It matches the Rfam family "Bacterial small subunit ribosomal RNA", at positions 27 to 507 of the family's 1533-position model. The record is from RNAcentral.